Fukomys damarensis (Damara mole-rat) is the source of this 3897-nucleotide long non-coding RNA. Lineage: Eukaryota; Metazoa; Chordata; Mammalia; Rodentia; Bathyergidae. The record is from Ensembl.
CGCGCAUGCGCCCGAGCCCCGCCCUGAGCUCGCCGCCCCAGGGAAGCUUCUGGCCCCUUGUCCCCCACACUACCGGCAGGAGGGACAGCGGGGAGACCUGGACGGGGAGAAGUUGUCGCGAGGAAGGUGGUGGAGAGCCGCGCAGAGACGCUCACUGCGUGAAGGCCUGCAAGAAAGGAGUGCACCACUUAGAAGUCCAGAGAUCCCAUAAGGAGAUAUCUCCUCAAGGAAGCUUCUCUUGGGACUUGCAAACUGAAUUUGCUGUGAGAAAAGAGGACCGUUACAAGGCCCCAGUGGCCCUCCUAUCACCAGUCAUGUUCCCUGGGAGAAGGGCCUGCGUGACACUGCCACAGUGACCUACAGAUGACAAAAUGCUACCAGGCACCCUCUACCGAGACGAGAACACAGCUUCCAUUCACCACAUUGAGAGUGGAAUUUAAGCCUUGCCAACUGCUGAUCGAAGUUCUGUGGUUAUUUAGGGGGAAAUAUUUAGAGAUCAUACUUUUAAAAUUAAACAAUGAAUCUGUAGGAAAUUACAUUGCCAAAGCUAGCAUAUAAAUAUAGUGGCUUAAUUCAUAAUCACUAAACAGAAGUGACACAAUGUAUUUCAUCAGUGAAUCAGUAAACUGGCAGAACCACACACUGGAAUACUACACACAUUACAAGCUACAAAGAGACACCAAGGAGUCUUAAAGGCAUAUUGCUAAGUGAAAAAAGUCAAUCUGAAAAGGCUAAAUACUGUAUUAUAUGAAUCUAUUUAUAUGACAUUCUAGAAAAUAUAAAAUUAUAGCAAUGGGAAAUGUAUUAGUGGUUGCCAAGGGAUCCAUAGGCACAAGAUAAGGAAUGCCUAGAAGAUUACUAAAGCCUGCACCUGAGUGUGUCUGGGUGUGUUGUGGCAGCAUGACCCUGAGUACCAUAUUUGGUCUCUGGUCUCUUCCUCUCUGGUGCUGUUCCCUUGCUCUGAUUCUCAGCCACCAUGAGCAGCUUUGCUUUUCCAAGACCUGACUUCAUGCUGUUUUUGCUUUGGGACCAUUUGGUUACAGACUGAAUAAGUGAGCCAACUGACCCUUUGCUUCCUUCAGUUGUGAGUGUCAGGUACGAUAUUCAGCAGUGGGAAAGCUGACUAUUAUAGUAGCCCUACCGAACUCAGACAAUAGCACUAUGAAUUUGUCGAAACUCAUACAACUUUACAGCACAAAGAGUGAGUCUUGAUACAUGCUGUUACGGCUUGUGUCUAGAUGUCCCCCCAAAGCCUCCUGCAGUCAUAGGUGGGACUUUUUCAGAGGCAGCUGGAUCUGGAGUGUGUAAAUUAUUCAUGGCGCAAUGCUAGAAUCAAGGGUGUUAGGAUUAAGGGUGGGUGAUUACUAAAUCAGUCCACUGAUUGGUCUGGCACUGCCCUAAUCCCAGUAGCCUGAAUAUGAUAUGAAGGACAGAGAGAGGCUUAUCUUGUCUCUUUUCUUGCUUGCUCUCACCUGCCUAGUUGGCCUGGACGACUUCUCUACAAUCCCCCUCUGGCAUGCCAUCCUGCCUUGGAGCCAGCUGAUUAUGGUCUAAAACCUCUACAAACUGUAAGCCAAAAUAAACCUUUCCUCCUUUAACUUUGGGUGCCGGGAGUAUUUUGUCUCAGCAAUGAGAACAGUAACUAAGACACAUGCAAAUUUAAAUAAUAUUUAAGAAGUGGACAACUACAGUACAGAAUGUAGAAUGUCAGCAAAAAGAAAAAAAAAACACUCUAAAUGUAUUGCACUGCUAUUCACAACUGUCCAGGAAACAGAUGGAAUGAGAUUAUGGAUUCAAUAAUGGGGGAAAUGAGUGGCAUCUGUGAGACUCAAGGUCAGUGACACAACAACUAAACACUACAUUCUAAUUGAAAAAAAUGUUCCCUAUAAGGGUACGGGAGUAGGUUAGACAAAUCUGAAUCUGCUAUGCUUGAAUACUGAAAGAAAACAAUUAAUUAAAUGGGGAGUGGAAGGCAGGUGGGAUCCAGGGUUCUCAGUGAUGCCCUGGGAGGCUGUAGAUAAUCCCGAAGAGGGGGUCAGAAUGAUCUUUUUAGAAACAGUUAACAAUUGGAGACAUUAGUAUAAAGUCACAUUGAAUGAAUCUGAUAUAGAAACAGAAGUUUCCAUAUAUAAACAGUUAUAGAUCUGUGCAUAUGCAAUGUUGAAUACACAUGUAUAUUCCUUGUGGAAUCAGUAGAGAAGCCUGCUAGCUGACAGUGCCCCAGUUGGAAUGUACACUGGUAGCAGCCAGAUGUAGAAUGAAUAGAGUGGAAUAGAAGGAAACAGACUUCUUUGAGGAAAUGGCUACCUUUAGGACUAGGGAAGGCCAUACACAAGAUGAACCUGGAGAAGCACCAUGUAGCCCCAGAAACUAAGGGCUAAAGAAUAUGUUAAAAGACACUUCUGUAUUGCAUUCAGCAACAUCCAGAGUUUGGAUGGAAUUCAAGGUUUGCUCUUAAAAAUAAAACCUAAGUCCCACAUGUGUAAAUACCAAAUAGUUUCCCUGGUGUGAAUAUUCUGCAACAAUGCAUAAGAUUCUAAUAAGAUUACUGACAUUUAGAAAUGGGAGGAAAGGAGCUAAAGGUGUAGGGAAGGUGUGAUACGUAGGGGAAGAACAAAAAGGGAAAAGAAAAAAAUGUGAGAGAAUGAAAAGAUGAAAAUAAAGUGUUUGUAGAUGGGGAGGGGAGGAGGGGGUGAAGGGAGGGCAGAGGUAAGGGGAAAAAAAUGAGAAUCAAGACUUGCCAUGUAAAGGUACAUGAUCCCAACAAUGAAUGUAACUGUACUGUAUCCCUAAAUGUACCAAUAAACUCAAUAAAAAAAAAAAAUAAAAAAAUAAAACCUAAACAUGAUAUUGCAAAGGAAAAAGAGGAAAUUGGCAGAUUAUGAUUUACAGGACAUAACAAAAAUUAUGGGUAUAUUCACAUAUGCAUUCAAAGAAACUACUUCCAAAAGUAUAUAAAAUAGUUGUAUAUUUAAUGAUAAUUUAUGCACUUUUUAGAAAUGAUAACACUACAAGGCUUAUUUUUAAAAAGCCCUUAACUUUUAGAAAUGUGUGUUGAGACACUGAGAGAUUAAAUAGUGGGAUGCUUUUGAUUUGCGCUGCAUUCUUCCAGUGGCUGUGAUGUAGGUAGGUGGGGAGACUCCGUGAAACCAGGUUUAUAAAUGCAAAUGUAUUUUAGAAAUAUGUACAUAAGGUACACAUCCAUUCUGUACAUAUAAUAUAUGCAGCUAAACAUGCACACAUAUAAUUGUGUACCUGUAUAUAAGGGUAGUCUACAUGGACCCUUUAUACAUUUGCUCUUUCUAUCUAUAUGAAGUCCACACAUUCAUUUGGUAGAGAGGUUAAACAGCUUCCUGAGUCUAAGUGAGCAUUGCAAGGUGACAAUCACACUCCGGACUAUGAAAAGUUGGCUCACAUCAAUCCCCUGCUGCUGCUCCCCCUCUUCUCACUCAACAUCAAUCUUUUAGAAGGGUUGGGAGAUCUCCCACCAGCUGGUGAGGAGACCUCAUAGGAGAAUGUGGUUGUCCUUAAUGAGGUCACCGUAGAGCCUCGGUGCAACAGGACACACUCAGAUAAACAGGGGUGGGGGUUCUGGUUUUGCUAAGAACAAAAGUGAGGACCCAGAAGAAGGAAGGAGGGUACCCCCAAUUAGAGAAGCGCCAAGGAGAACAUUUCUGCCCCUGGUAUCAGGUUGGUGAGCCCCAGGUGUAUGGACUGGAUGUGCAAUCUCCCAAGUUCCACAGGUGAGGGUCUGAGAAAGGUGAGAACCUUGUCACAUAGUCAGGGGCCUUGGACUCCACAACUAUGAGUACUGUACUUUUAGAAUGUGGCCCUGGCUGGAAGGCCAGGGAAACCCCAUGGUAGGUAUUUUCUAAUUUUUUCAGGUUUUAGGACUCC